RNAcentral lists this ribosomal RNA (466 nucleotides) under Vreelandella stevensii. RNAcentral's name for it is "partial 16S ribosomal RNA". It matches the Rfam family "Bacterial small subunit ribosomal RNA", at positions 338 to 795 of the family's 1533-position model. Lineage: Bacteria; Pseudomonadati; Pseudomonadota; Gammaproteobacteria; Oceanospirillales; Halomonadaceae. The record is from RNAcentral.
CCUACGGGUGGCUGCAGUGGGGAAUAUUGGACAAUGGGCGAAAGCCUGAUCCAGCCAUGCCGCGUGUGUGAAGAAGGCCUUCGGGUUGUAAAGCACUUUCAGUGGGGAAGAAAGCAUUGGGGCUAAUACCCUCGAGGAAGGACAUCACUCACAGAAGAAGCACCGGCUAACUCCGUGCCAGCAGCCGCGGUAAUACGGAGGGUGCGAGCGUUAAUCGGAAUUACUGGGCGUAAAGCGCGCGUAGGCGGUCUGAUAAGCCGGUUGUGAAAGCCCCGGGCUCAACACUGGGAACGGCAUCCGGAACUUGCAGGAUAGAGUUCAGGAGAGGAAGGUAGAAUUCCCGGUGUAGCGGUGAAAUGCGUAGAAAUCGGGAGGAAUACCAGUGGCGAAGGCGGCCUUCUGGACUGACACUGACGCUGAGGUGCGAAAGCGUGGGUAGCAAACAGGAGUAGAUACCCGAGUAGUC